This 207-nucleotide ribosomal RNA is filed under the name uncultured bacterium. RNAcentral's name for it is "partial 16S ribosomal RNA". It matches the Rfam family "Bacterial small subunit ribosomal RNA", at positions 568 to 774 of the family's 1533-position model. The record is from RNAcentral.
CGCGUAGGCGGUUUGUUUAGUUAGGCGUGAAAUUCCUGGGCUUAACCUGGGGACUGCGCUUAAUACAGGCAGACUUGAGUUCGGAAGAGGGUCGUGGAAUUCCCAAUGUAGAGGUGAAAUUCGUAGAUAUUGGGAAGAACACCGGUGGCGAAGGCGGCGACCUGGUCCGAUACUGACGCUGAGGCGCGAAAGCGUGGGGAGCAAACA